This 497-nucleotide ribosomal RNA is filed under the name uncultured bacterium. RNAcentral's name for it is "partial 16S ribosomal RNA". It matches the Rfam family "Bacterial small subunit ribosomal RNA", at positions 28 to 507 of the family's 1533-position model. The record is from RNAcentral.
GAUGAACGCUGGCGGCGUGCCUAAUACAUGCAAGUCGAGCGAACAGACGAGGAGCUUGCUCCUCUGACGUUAGCGGCGGACGGGUGAGUAACACGUGGAUAACCUACCUAUAAGACUGGGAUAACUUCGGGAAACCGGAGCUAAUACCGGAUAAUAUAUUGAACCGCAUGGUUCUAUAGUGAAAGACGGUUUUGCUGUCACUUAUAGAUGGAUCCGCGCCGCAUUAGCUAGUUGGUAAGGUAACGGCUUACCAAGGCAACGAUGCGUAGCCGACCUGAGAGGGUGAUCGGCCACACUGGAACUGAGACACGGUCCAGACUCCUACGGGAGGCAGCAGUAGGGAAUCUUCCGCAAUGGGCGAAAGCCUGACGGAGCAACGCCGCGUGAGUGAUGAAGGUUUUCGGAUCGUAAAACUCUGUUAUUAGGGAAGAACAAAUGUGUAAGUAACUAUGCACGUCUUGACGGUACCUAAUCAGAAAGCCACGGCUAACUACGUG